Molecule: non-coding RNA, 454 nt
Organism: Manis javanica (Malayan pangolin)
Lineage: Eukaryota; Metazoa; Chordata; Mammalia; Pholidota; Manidae
Source: RefSeq, a predicted model, not a curated record
CAGCGUGCGGUUCUGGUAUGGUCCCUGUAGCGCAGCCAGGAAUGUAAACUUGCAGAAGCCGAUACCGCCAUGCUGGAUUAGGGCAAAUGCUGCCAGAACAGUAAGUUCAUCAUUGGCAAAAGACAUGAAGUUCAUCUUUGUAUUAUCAACGAGUCUUCAUACCUGUUAAAAAGUCCAGACAAUGAUUUUGCAGUGGCCCCUUCACUUCCUGUGUUCAUCCAGAUGUUCAGGCUCUCCUUCUGUAGAAAAGCCAUUGUGCGGAGAAGCCCUGGAAGAUGAAAGAUUAUUAGAGAGGCUGUGUGGGUGAGUACUGAGCCACCCUAGCAGUUUGGCACCAGGUCCAGCUGUGUGAGGGAGGCCUCCUUAGAUCCUUAGAUCUGAUCCGGCUAUCAGCAAGCUGCAUGCAUUCCCAUGGACUGCAGUGGAGCCCAUACCAACACCUGGAUCCAGUCAA